AUGACGAAUGCCGAUGGAACUACAGGCUGUACCCCUCCAGGUCGCGGGUUCGAAUCCCGCCGGGUCCACCAACUGCGGGCUCGUAGCUCAGUGGUCAGAGCGGGUUCCCGCUUUACGGUGGGAGAGGUUUCAUCAUCCCUUGUCGUCAUGCC
Molecule: non-coding RNA, 152 nt
Filed under: Hyphomicrobiales bacterium
Lineage: Bacteria; Pseudomonadati; Pseudomonadota; Alphaproteobacteria; Hyphomicrobiales
Source: RNAcentral